Molecule: ribosomal RNA, 369 nt
Filed under: uncultured bacterium
Lineage: Bacteria
Description: bacterial SSU rRNA
Rfam family: Bacterial small subunit ribosomal RNA
Source: RNAcentral
ACGUAGGUGGCAAGCGUUGUCCGGAUUUAUUGGGUUUAAAGGGUGCGUAGGCGGCCCCGUAAGUCAGUGGUGAAAUACGGCAGCUCAACUGUCGAUGUGCCAUUGAUACUGCGGGGCUUGAGUACAGUCGAGGCAGGCGGAAUUGACGGUGUAGCGGUGAAAUGCUUAGAUAUCGUCAAGAACACCGAUAGCGAAGGCAGCUUGCUAGGCUGUAACUGACGCUGAGGCACGAAAGUGCGGGGAUCAAACAGGAUUAGAUACCCUGGUAGUCCGCACAGUAAACGAUGGUCACUCGGUGUCGGCGGUACACUGCCGGCGCCUUAGCGAAAGCGUUAAGUGACCCACCUGGGGAGUACGCCCGCAAGGGUG